AUUGAACGCUGGCGGCAUGCCUUACACAUGCAAGUCGAACGGCAGCGGGCCUUCGGGUGCCGGCGAGUGGCGAACGGGUGAGUAAUGCAUCGGAACGUGCCAUUGAGUGGGGGAUAACGUAGCGAAAGUUACGCUAAUACCGCAUAUUCUGUGAGCAGGAAAGCAGGGGACCGCAAGGCCUUGCGCUCUUUGAGCGGCCGAUGUCAGAUUAGCUAGUUGGUGAGGUAAAGGCUUACCAAGGCGACGAUCUGUAGCGGGUCUGAGAGGAUGAUCCGCCACACUGGAACUGAGACACGGUCCAGACUCCUACGGGAGGCAGCAGUGGGGAAUUUUGGACAAUGGGCGCAAGCCUGAUCCAGCCAUGCCGCGUGAGUGAAGAAGGCCUU
RNAcentral lists this ribosomal RNA (386 nucleotides) under uncultured bacterium. RNAcentral's name for it is "bacterial SSU rRNA". It matches the Rfam family "Bacterial small subunit ribosomal RNA", at positions 30 to 418 of the family's 1533-position model. The record is from RNAcentral.